AUGUCGAAAAAGUGUACCGUUCGUUCGCUCAGCGACAGCGCUCUGGCCGAGCUUGCCAAUCAGAUUGUUUCGACGAUCGGCUAUGCCAAAUACGCACCGGAUGUUGUGCUGGACAUCGACAUUGUGAUGGUCGACAUCAAUCAAUAUCUGGAACAGACAGGUGCCACCUGGUACGUAUAUCAGGAUCUGCUGCGCGUUAUACUCAGUUCCGACUAUUUGGAUGCCAACAUGCGAUUCACUUGCCUGCAAAUGCUGCUUAAUGGCAGUGUUGCCUUUUUGGUCACCGAGGUCUUUCCUUUUUCGUAUUAUGAAAAAAUUCUUCAAGUUAUUGCCGCCCAAGGAACCGGACUGCGUGUGCUCAACUUAAAGGGUGUGUGGGUCAAGGAGGAGCACAUGCAUUAUCUUUUCGAAAUCGUGCGUAAAUGUCAGUACUUGACGAAGCUCUUUGUGCCCUACAUUGCCAACGAUGAUCUACUGGAGGUAAUUGGCAAAUACUGUCGCCAGCUGCAGGUCUUAGACAUAUCUGGCGAAACAGAUAUUACCGAAAUCGGUGUGGAGUGCAUUAGUCACGGUUUGUGCAACGAUAAGCUAACGGUUGUGGAUAUUGGUAUGCCAGGGGAAGAGAAUAUAUGCUAUUCGGAUAUCGCACUCAUAUUGGAACACUGCCCCAAUGUUGAGACCCUGUCCACCUACUCCUUUGUCGGCGCUUCGCUUAAGUUCGUUCAUGACAAUAUUGACGAAGACUUUCGCUGUAAGCUACGCUAUUUACAUGAUACCGGCACCGAUGAGGAGACUUUGCGUAUUAUCAUGAAGACUUGCCCACACCUGGAGUCACUUUAUUUAGACACUCCAAAAGCGGGAGCGCUGAAAGUUCUCAAUAAUGUCUUCUUGAGGAAGCUGAAAAUCUACAAGUUUUCCUGCUCUGAACUAAUUGAGGUACUGGACAGAAUUGGUCACAAUCUUAGCCAUCUAACCAUGAUUAAGGGCGUAGGCUAUUUGGAGAUAAGUAAACUCGCACGAAUAUGCCCAAUGUUAAUAGACUUAGAUUGUUAUAUGAUGGAUGGACUCUCCUAUACGAAGGAUAUCAACCGGUUUGAGUGUUUGGAAGGUUUGGAAAUGCUGAGCAGCCCAAUGUCAAACAGUUCUCUAAAGAUGCUCAUCUGCAGUUGUCGACAGUUGAAGCGUUUGGCUGUGGACAGCAUUAGUUUUACAGAUGAAGAUAUUGUAAACAUAUUUGUGGAACACGAUUUCUAUGCGCUUGAAGACAUCUGGUUCACUUUGGCACCAAAUUUGACGGUGCAAUCAAUAGAGAUACUGAUGGAUCGCUGUCCGGAAUUGCAAUCGGUUGGACAAUUAAGCGGAUGGUCGUUGACUCCGGAUGACUUGGCACUGAUACGAGGCCUGCUAAAGAGCGGCAAUUCUUGUCUUGUACUUACACCUAGCGGUUUUUUUCCUUGAAAGCGUUUUACAUUAACCUGCACAUACUCACCCACAUACAUACAUAUGUGAUCUAACGCAAAAUCUGCAGUCGCGGGAGAGAAGUAGAGGGAAAACGACUGCAGUGAAUUUGAGGGCGGCACGAAUUCCAAGAAUGCCAAAGAUGAAUGUUGAAUUGUUUCAAAAUGUGAUAGUAAAAUAAAGUUAUUAACUAUUGUAUAUGGUCAAAAAGUGAUAUUCAUAUAAAAAAUUAAAAACUUAAAUAAAUUUAACUAACACAUUU
This 1720-nucleotide unclassified non-coding RNA is filed under the name Ceratitis capitata (Mediterranean fruit fly). RNAcentral describes it as "misc RNA LOC101459595". Lineage: Eukaryota; Metazoa; Arthropoda; Insecta; Diptera; Tephritidae. The record is from RNAcentral.